RNAcentral lists this ribosomal RNA (464 nucleotides) under uncultured bacterium. RNAcentral's name for it is "partial 16S ribosomal RNA". It matches the Rfam family "Bacterial small subunit ribosomal RNA", at positions 28 to 507 of the family's 1533-position model. The record is from RNAcentral.
GACGAACGCUGGCGGCGUGCUUAACACAUGCAAGUCGAACGGUAAGGCCCUUUCGGGGGUACACGAGUGGCGAACGGGUGAGUAACACGUGGGUGAUCUGCCCUGCACUUUGGGAUAAGCCUGGGAAACUGGGUCUAAUACCGGAUAGGACUACGCGAUGCAUGUCGUGUGGUGGAAAGCUUUUGCGGUGUGGGAUGGGCCCGCGGCCUAUCAGCUUGUUGGUGGGGUGAUGGCCUACCAAGGCGACGACGGGUAGCCGGCCUGAGAGGGUGUCCGGCCACACUGGGACUGAGAUACGGCCCAGACUCCUACGGGAGGCAGCAGUGGGGAAUAUUGCACAAUGGGCGCAAGCCUGAUGCAGCGACGCCGCGUGGAGGAUGACGGCCUUCGGGUUGUAAACCCCUUUCAGCACAGACGAAGCGUAAGUGACGGUAUGUGCAGAAGAAGCACCGGCCAACUACGUG